GCGCGCGCAGGCGGCCUUUUAAGUUGGAUGUGAAAGCCUAUGGCUCAACCAUAGAACUGCAUCCAAAACUAUCAGGCUAGAGUGUGGGAGAGGAAGAUGGAAUUAGUUGAGUAGGGGUAAAAUCCGUAGAGAUAACUAGGAAUACCAAAAGCGAAGGCAAUCUUCUGGAACAUUACUGACGCUGAGGCGCGAAAGCGUGGGGAGCAAACAGGAUUAGAUACCCUGGUAGUCCACGCCCUAAACGAUGAAUGUUAGUCGUCGGGUAGCUAGUCUAUUCGGUGAUGCAGCUAACGCAUUAAACAUUCCGCCUGGUGAGUACGGUCGCAAGAUUAAAACUCAAAGGAAUAGACGGGGACCCGCACAAGUGGUGGAGCAUGUGGUUUAAUUCGAAGAUACGCGAAGAACCUUACCUAGCCUUGACAUAUUUUAGAACACUUUAGAGAUAGAGUGGUGCCUUCGGGAGCUAAUAUACAGGUGCUGCACGGCUGUCGUCAGCUCGUGUCGUGAGAUGUUUGGUUAAGUCCCGCAACGAGCGCAACCCUCGUCACUAGUUACUAACGGUUCGGCCGAGGACUCUAGUGAGACUGCCUUCGCAAGGAGGAGGAAGGUGAGGACGACGUCAAGUCAUCAUGGCCCUUACGGCUAGGGCAACACACGUGCUACAAUGGCCAGGACAAUGAGAAGCGAUACCGCGAGGUG
RNAcentral lists this ribosomal RNA (699 nucleotides) under uncultured bacterium. RNAcentral's name for it is "bacterial SSU rRNA". It matches the Rfam family "Bacterial small subunit ribosomal RNA", at positions 565 to 1264 of the family's 1533-position model. The record is from RNAcentral.